AGACGUCAGGAUCAUCGGAGGAAAAGC
Molecule: non-coding RNA, 27 nt
Filed under: Bombyx mori (domestic silkworm)
Lineage: Eukaryota; Metazoa; Arthropoda; Insecta; Lepidoptera; Bombycidae
Source: RNAcentral